GUCAACUUUCACAGAGUACAGACUUUCAUACAUUAUAUAUUGAUUUCUAAAUUAGACUAUUGCAUUCCAUAUUUGGACUGCUGUAUCUCAGCUAAUGAAUAAACCCCUGAAUACUCUUUACCACACACCUUCAUAAUUUAUCAGCCAUCAUCCUGAUCUUCUAAAUAUUCUUCUUUGUUAUUUAUGCUGCUUUACAACCAGAAGUUAUUAAACAGUAGUGUUAUUCCAUUGUCCACCACAAGCCACCCACAUUUUAGUAAGAUCAGCUAUCAAAUGAAGAAUAAGGUUCAUCACGCCAGUAUAGACGUUUCUGAAAAAUCUGGAGAUUUGGGACUCAGAAUUAAAUCUGGAUCCUCUAGUUGGCAAGUGACACAUUUAAGCAUAAGGCUAUCAGGAUGACUUAUCCAAAUAUAAAUAACUAUACUGGAGUAACAUAGUUUAAUCUACUACUGAUAUCAGAUAGCUAAUGUUUCCUUAAUUGAUGCAUAUAUUCAUUGGCAGUCCCAGGAGAAGGUCUGUUUUGAUGCCAAGUAAAAUAUGUCAAAUAGUAUCUUCGAAGAUUCUCACAAAAUUUACAAUUUUUCUGAAAUAUUCUUUCACUUCUUCCAUGUCAUUUGUACAUCUGGCUUCUUGCAUUAACACUUCUACUGCUCUUGUUACUAAGAAUAGUUUUUAAUCAUGCUGCCAAAUUUCAUAAUGGAUAUGUUUUAUGAUAGCCACUUCAUAGUCCAUCAUAAGCUGGUGAACACGCAUGAUAGGGUCAGCUGAAAGUUUGAAGAAUAGGAUUCAAUGAGUUUGACUCAGACUUCUCUUAAAAGAUCUAGAGCAGGGGUCUCCAACCCUGUGCCCGUGGGCACCAUAGCGCCUGACGAUCGUUUAACAUGUGCCCGCCGCUUUGCAACCAUGAUAAAAAAUAUUUCGACUUACAGAUGAACACCUUGACGAUUGUUUACUAGCAGGAAUAUCAUCAUCCUCUCCUAAUUACGAAGAAAUGCAAUGUCAAAAAUCACAUUGACUUUGAGAUUUCUAUUUUUUAUAAAGAAUUUUUAUACUUUG
This 1056-nucleotide long non-coding RNA is filed under the name Androctonus crassicauda. Lineage: Eukaryota; Metazoa; Arthropoda; Arachnida; Scorpiones; Buthidae. The record is from RNAcentral.